This 481-nucleotide ribosomal RNA is filed under the name uncultured bacterium. Its description in RNAcentral is "partial 16S ribosomal RNA". It matches the Rfam family "Bacterial small subunit ribosomal RNA", at positions 28 to 507 of the family's 1533-position model. The record is from RNAcentral.
GAUGAACGCUGGCGGCGUGCUUAACACAUGCAAGUCGAACGAAGCAUUUGCGACAGAUUUUUUCGGAAUGAAGUUGCUUAUGACUGAGUGGCGGACGGGUGAGUAACGCGUGGGUAACCUGCCUUGUACUGGGGGAUAGCAGCUGGAAACGGCUGGUAAUACCGCAUAAGCGCACAAUGUUGCAUGACAUGGUGUGAAAAACUCCGGUGGUAUAAGAUGGACCCGCGUCUGAUUAGCUAGUUGGUGAGAUAACAGCCCACCAAGGCGACGAUCAGUAGCCGACCUGAGAGGGUGACCGGCGACAUUGGGACUGAGACACGGCCCAGACUCCUACGGGAGGCAGCAGUGGGGAAUAUUGCACAAUGGAGGAAACUCUGAUGCAGCGACGCCGCGUGAGUGAAGAAGUAAUUCGUUAUGUAAAGCUCUAUCAGCAGGGAAGAUAGUGACGGUACCUGACUAAGAAGCUCCGGCUAAAUACGUG